CACAUGCAAGUCGAACGGUCUUUUCGGAGAUAGUGGCGGACGGGUGAGUAACGCGUAAGAAUCUACCUUCAGGUUGGGGACAACCACUGGAAACGGUGGCUAAUACCCAAUGUGCCGAGAGGUGAAAGGCUUGCUGCCUGAAGAAGAGCUUGCGUCUGAUUAGCUAGUAGGUGAGGUAAGAGCUUACCUAGGCGACGAUCAGUAGCUGGCCUGAGAGGAUGAUCAGCCACACUGGGACUGAGACACGGCCCAGACUCCUACGGGAGGCAGCAGUGGGGAAUUUUCCGCAAUGGGCGAAAGCCUGACGGAGCAAUACCGCGUGAGGGAGGAAGGCUCUUGGGUUGUAAACCUCUUUUCUCAGGGAAGAAAAAAAUGACGGUACCUGAGGAAUAAGCAUCGGCUAACUCCGUGCCAGCAGCCGCGGUAAUACGGAGGUUGCAAGCGUUAUCCGGAAUGAUUGGGCGUAAAGGGUCCGCAGGUGGCAUUGUAAGUCUGCUGUUAAAGAGUCACGCUCAACGUGAUAAGAGCAGUGGAAACUACAAAGCUAGAGUAUGUUCGGGGCAGAAGGAAUUCCUGGUGUAGCGGUGAAAUGCGUAGAUAUCAGGAAGAACACCGGUGGCGAAAGCGUUCUGCUAGACCAAAACUGACACUGAGGGACGAAAGCUAGGGGAGCGAAUGGGAUUAGAUACCCCAGUAGUCCUAGCCGUAAACGAUGGAUACUAGGUGUGGCUUGUAUCGACCCGAGCCGUACCGGAGCUAACGCGUUAAGUAUCCCGCCUGGGGAGUACGCACGCUAG
This 797-nucleotide ribosomal RNA is filed under the name uncultured bacterium. Its description in RNAcentral is "bacterial SSU rRNA". It matches the Rfam family "Bacterial small subunit ribosomal RNA", at positions 52 to 892 of the family's 1533-position model. The record is from RNAcentral.